Molecule: long non-coding RNA, 238 nt
Filed under: Capsicum annuum
Lineage: Eukaryota; Viridiplantae; Streptophyta; Magnoliopsida; Solanales; Solanaceae
Description: long non-coding RNA (CANN_LNC002541)
Source: RNAcentral
UGUGGGCAACUCAAUCUCAUAAGCUACUUUCCUAGCACGUCUCAGAAUUCUGUAAGGGCCAACAUAAUGAGUACUUAGCUUCCCUUUUUUGCUAAAUCUAUUCACCCCUUUCAUGGGUGAAUCUUCAGAUACACUAAAUCAUCAACUUCAAACUCAAGAUCUCUUUUUCUCACAUCUGGAUAUGAUUUCUGAUGACUCUGGUCUAUCUUCAAUCUUUCUCUAAUAAACUUGACUUUCU